Molecule: ribosomal RNA, 506 nt
Filed under: uncultured organism
Description: partial 18S ribosomal RNA
Source: RNAcentral
UCGUCGGCGCCAUUAAGGUCGAGGUUAUCGCAUAUAAUUUCAACAACGUCAAUUUUUCGAGCAUCAACUUAAAGCCCUAGUCAAGCGACCAGCACGGAGACCAUACAUGACCACAAUGACCAAAGAUGGAAGACUGCUUGGCAGUACAGUAAUUAAACCACACCGCCCCUUAGUCCUGACAAUGAAACUUUUUUAAUCUCACAAAUUUCGUCCGAGCGCGAACUUAUGUAAUCGUACCUUAUUACUUUAUCCUGCAAGCUAGGAUAAAACAACCAAAGAUCCUAACUGCAUUACUAAUUAUCCCUAUCAACCCCCGUAAUCAUAAGUUAACAGUCUCCACUUUAAGAACCUAAAUAACUUCUGAUUGAUGACGCUUUCGUAAACGGUUCCUACAAAAGUAAUUAGUUCUUGCUUUCAAUCCCCUAGCUUCUGCUAGUCUAUGGCAGCAUCAGAAUUGGUAUUUGAUACGGCUGAUCCCUAGCCUACUACAAUAAAAAUUACUGAGU